GGAGCAGUAUAAGGCUGAAACUUAUAUGUUUCCCACCAUUCAUUCACUUUCACUUAUUUCUUUUAUAGUCCAUAUAUUUUACAACAGGAUAACCAAUAUACACAACAAUACAUCUCUAGUUUUACACGUACCAAACCCUUUUAUUUAUUUAUUUUACAUUUGAAUUAAGUCA
Long non-coding RNA from Etheostoma cragini (Arkansas darter), 172 nucleotides. RefSeq lists it as uncharacterized. The transcript has 3 exons. Lineage: Eukaryota; Metazoa; Chordata; Actinopteri; Perciformes; Percidae. The record is from RefSeq and is a predicted model, not a curated record.